UACGGAGGAUGCAAGCGUUAUCCGGAAUGAUUGGGCGUAAAGCGUCCGCAGGUGGCAAUGUAAGUCUGCUGUCAAAGCGUCUGGCUCAACCAGAUAAAGGCAGUGGAAACUACAUAGCUAGAGUAAGGUAGGGGUAGAGGGAAUUCCUGGUGUAGCGGUGAAAUGCGCAGAUAUCAGGAAGAACACCGAUGGCGAAGGCAGUUCUCUGGGCAACAACUGACGCUGAGGAGCGAAAGCGUGGGGAGCGAACAGG
This 253-nucleotide ribosomal RNA is filed under the name uncultured bacterium. RNAcentral's name for it is "partial 16S ribosomal RNA". It matches the Rfam family "Bacterial small subunit ribosomal RNA", at positions 524 to 776 of the family's 1533-position model. The record is from RNAcentral.